Molecule: ribosomal RNA, 1650 nt
Filed under: human gut metagenome
Description: bacterial LSU rRNA
Rfam family: Bacterial large subunit ribosomal RNA
Source: RNAcentral
CCGAAGCUGAGGAACCCGCAAGGGUUGGUAGAGGAGCAUUGCAUAUGCGGCGAAGCAGUACCGUAAGGAGCUGUGGACUGCAUGGAAGAGAGAAUGCCGGAAUGAGUAGCGAGAAUUAUGUGGGAAUCAUAAUGGCCGAAAAUCUAAGGUUUCUUGGGGAAGGUUCGUCCGCCCAAGGUAAGCCGGGAGCUAAGGCGAGGCCGAAAGGCGUAGUCGAUGCACAUACGGUAGAAAUUCCGUAGCCACCGAACUUUAAACCAGAAGGACACUUUCAGAUAGCGGGACCCAGCCGUUGGUAGAGCUGGGCGAAAGGGACUGAAAUUAGUAGGGAAGUCCGCGAUGCUGGGAGGCGAGAAAAGCUCUGGUGAAUACUAAGGUGCCCGUACCGCAAACCGACACAGGUAGGUAGGAAGAAGAUUCUAAGGCCAACGGGAGAAGGGUUGUUAAGGAACUCGGCAAAUUGACCCCGUAACUUCGGAAGAAGGGGAGCCUCGAAAGAGGCCGCAGUGAAUAGGCCCAAGCAACUGUUUACCAAAAACACAGGUCUAUGCUAAAUCGAAAGAUGACGUAUAUGGGCUGACGCCUGCCCGGUGCUGGAAGGUUAAGAGGAGAUGUCAUCGCAAGAGAAGCAUUGAAUUGAAGCCCCAGUAAACGGCGGCCGUAACUAUAACGGUCCUAAGGUAGCGAAAUUCCUUGUCGGGUAAGUUCCGACCCGCACGAAUGGCGUAACGACUUGGGCACUGUCUCAACAAGGGACCCGGCGAAAUUGUAGUAUGUGUGAAGAUGCACAUUACCCGCGAUAGGACGGAAAGACCCCGUAGAGCUUUACUGUAGCCUGGUAUUGGAUUUUGGUAACGUAUGUACAGAAUAGGUGGGAGACGGAGAAGCGAGGACGCCAGUUCUCGUGGAGUCGCCUUUGGGAUACCACUCUUAUGUUACCGGGGUUCUAACGAGCGGCCGUGAACCGGCGUUCAGACAGUGCCAGGUGGGCAGUUUGACUGGGGCGGUCGCCUCCUAAAGAGUAACGGAGGCGUCCAAAGGUUCCCUCAGAAUGGUUGGAAACCAUUCAUAGAGUGCAAAGGCAGAAGGGAGCUUGACUGCGACACCGACGGGUGGAGCAGGUACGAAAGUAGGACUUAGUGAUCCGGUGGUAUAAAGUGGGAUUGCCAUCGCUCAACGGAUAAAAGCUACCCUGGGGAUAACAGGCUUAUCUCCCCCAAGAGUCCACAUCGACGGGGAGGUUUGGCACCUCGAUGUCGGCUCAUCGCAUCCUGGGGCUGUAGCAGGUCCCAAGGGUUGGGCUGUUCGCCCAUUAAAGCGGUACGCGAGCUGGGUUCAGAACGUCGUGAGACAGUUCGGUCCCUAUCCGGCGUGGGCGUAGGAUAUUUGAGAGGAGCUGUCCUUAGUACGAGAGGACCGGGAUGGACGCACCAAGGGUGAAUCAGUUGUCGCGCCAGCGGCACGGCUGGGUAGCCAAGUGCGGAUCGGAUAAACGCUGAAGGCAUCUAAGCGUGAAGCCGACCUCAAGAUAAGAUCUCCCAUUCCGAAAGGAAGUAAGACCCCUUGCAGACGACAAGGUUGAUAGGUCGGGGGUGGAAGUGCGGUAACGCAUGAAGCUGACCGAUACUAAUAGGUCGAGGGCUUGAUCAA